GUAGCGCCUCGUGAAUUCAUCUCCGGGGGUAGAGCACUGUUUCGGCUAGGGGGCCAUCCCGGCUUACCAACCCGAUGCAAACUGCGAAUACCGGAGAAUGUUAUCACGGGAGACACACGGCGGGGGCUAACGUCCGUCGUGAAGAGGGAAACAACCCAGACCGCCAGCUAAGGUCCCAAAGUCAUGGUUAAGUGGGAAACGAUGUGGGAAGGCCCAGACAGCCAGGAUGUUGGCUUAGAAGCAGCCAUCAUU
Molecule: ribosomal RNA, 252 nt
Filed under: Salmonella enterica subsp. enterica serovar Typhimurium
Lineage: Bacteria; Pseudomonadati; Pseudomonadota; Gammaproteobacteria; Enterobacterales; Enterobacteriaceae
Description: partial 23S ribosomal RNA
Rfam family: Bacterial large subunit ribosomal RNA
Source: RNAcentral